GUGUUUUACAGAGGAGAGAAGAGGAAAAGAGUUUCUACCAUGAGGCCAGCUGUGAGUUUAUCUUUGGUAUCUUGCUUUCUAGGAACUGUUCUUGAAUAUCUGCUGAAGGGAAAGGAAGAUGACCACAUGGAAGCUAUGUUAAAAGUCAAAAUGGAGAAACAUACCCAACUCCACAGAGAUGGGAUGCUUAUACGAGUGUUCCUUUCUCUGGAUCAUAAAAAAGGUGACAUCAAAGAAGAAAAAUGAUCUGAUAUUGUAGAGUGGAUUCCUGACCUAUAUUAGAAGAUUAGAAGGUAAAAAAAAAUGCACCACACACAGAGUAGAAAGGAUAAUAAGUAAUCAUGUUUUUAAAGGUAUUGGAUAGAAGUGG
This 370-nucleotide long non-coding RNA is filed under the name Monodelphis domestica (gray short-tailed opossum). Its description in RNAcentral is "lncRNA (ENSMODG00000032180.2)". Lineage: Eukaryota; Metazoa; Chordata; Mammalia; Didelphimorphia; Didelphidae. The record is from RNAcentral.